RNAcentral lists this ribosomal RNA (1372 nucleotides) under uncultured bacterium. RNAcentral's name for it is "bacterial SSU rRNA". It matches the Rfam family "Bacterial small subunit ribosomal RNA", at positions 28 to 1381 of the family's 1533-position model. The record is from RNAcentral.
GAUAAACGCUGGCGGCGUGCCUAAUACAUGCAAGUCGAGCGAACGGACGAGAAGCUUGCUUCUCUGAUGUUAGCGGCGGACGGGUGAGUAACACGUGGAUAACCUACCUAUAAGACUGGGAUAACUUCGGGAAACCGGAGCUAAUACCGGAUAAUAUUUUGAACCGCAUGGUUCAAAAGUGAAAGACGGUCUUGCUGUCACUUAUAGAUGGAUCCGCGCUGCAUUAGCUAGUUGGUAAGGUAACGGCUUACCAAGGCAACGAUGCAUAGCCGACCUGAGAGGGUGAUCGGCCACACUGGAACUGAGACACGGUCCAGACUCCUACGGGAGGCAGCAGUAGGGAAUCUUCCGCAAUGGGCGAAAGCCUGACGGAGCAACGCCGCGUGAGUGAUGAAGGUCUUCGGAUCGUAAAACUCUGUUAUUAGGGAAGAACAUAUGUGUAAGUAACUGUGCACAUCUUGACGGUACCUAAUCAGAAAGCCACGGCUAACUACGUGCCAGCAGCCGCGGUAAUACGUAGGUGGCAAGCGUUGUCCGGAAUUAUUGGGCGUAAAGCGCGCGUAGGCGGUUUUUUAAGUCUGAUGUGAAAGCCCACGGCUCAACCGUGGAGGGUCAUUGGAAACUGGAAAACUUGAGUGCAGAAGAGGAAAGUGGAAUUCCAUGUGUAGCGGUGAAAUGCGCAGAGAUAUGGAGGAACACCAGUGGCGAAGGCGACUUUCUGGUCUGUAACUGACGCUGAUGUGCGAAAGCGUGGGGAUCAAACAGGAUUAGAUACCCUGGUAGUCCACGCCGUAAACGAUGAGUGCUAAGUGUUAGGGGGUUUCCGCCCCUUAGUGCUGCAGCUAACGCAUUAAGCACUCCGCCUGGGGAGUACGACCGCAAGGUUGAAACUCAAAGGAAUUGACGGGGACCCGCACAAGCGGUGGAGCAUGUGGUUUAAUUCGAAGCAACGCGAAGAACCUUACCAAAUCUUGACAUCCUUUGACAACUCUAGAGAUAGAGCCUUCCCCUUCGGGGGACAAAGUGACAGGUGGUGCAUGGUUGUCGUCAGCUCGUGUCGUGAGAUGUUGGGUUAAGUCCCGCAACGAGCGCAACCCUUAAGCUUAGUUGCCAUCAUUAAGUUGGGCACUCUAAGUUGACUGCCGGUGACAAACCGGAGGAAGGUGGGGAUGACGUCAAAUCAUCAUGCCCCUUAUGAUUUGGGCUACACACGUGCUACAAUGGACAAUACAAAGGGCAGCGAAACCGCGAGGUCAAGCAAAUCCCAUAAAGUUGUUCUCAGUUCGGAUUGUAGUCUGCAACUCGACUACAUGAAGCUGGAAUCGCUAGUAAUCGUAGAUCAGCAUGCUACGGUGAAUACGUUCCCGGGUCU